Molecule: long non-coding RNA, 303 nt
Organism: Mastomys coucha (southern multimammate mouse)
Lineage: Eukaryota; Metazoa; Chordata; Mammalia; Rodentia; Muridae
Exons: 2
Source: RefSeq, a predicted model, not a curated record
UCCGAGCUCCCUGAGGCUCGACGUGAAGCCCCGAGCCCGUUUGUCCUGUGUGAGGACAAGGGGACAAGGAGAACACUCCAGAGAGGGUGGCGCAGACCCUACUUUCUUUCACAAGACUGAUGCUGUGCUGAAAUCACUAUGGGGCACUGUGAAUGUUGGUGGGUCACAUGGACUGAUCAGCUGAAGAGCCCCACUACAGGAUGGACUCAGGCUUCUUAGCAGCAAGGCAAGCCUCUGUGGACUGACCUCAACAGCCUCCUGGAAGCAUUUUUUAUUGUUCCUUAAAAGACACCUUUAGCAAGC